Molecule: long non-coding RNA, 2589 nt
Filed under: Felis catus (domestic cat)
Lineage: Eukaryota; Metazoa; Chordata; Mammalia; Carnivora; Felidae
Description: lncRNA (ENSFCAG00000051241.1)
Source: RNAcentral
UGUAUGCAAACUAGACUCCUAAUUAAAGUCCAAUAAUGUAAGACUUUGAACCUAUUCACUGCCUUUGGAAAUAAUCACAGAUGCUGGCUGCUUAUCAUGAAAAAGUCAUUAUGGUAAAUGACCAACUCCCCCACCUUCUCCUUUCCAUCAAGUGCAAAAGUGAUUCUCCAUUGCAGGGAUUUGCAAAUGGUGCAUGUUGCAGAGUCAAAUGUCUCCUGGUGGCUGUAAUUGUGAUGCAAAUUAUCUUGGUUACAGGAAGAAUGAAAUUUAUAGAGCUCCUGUCAUAUGUGAAUUUGCAAGCAUGUACCAAAUUUGAAGAGGGUGGACACUCAUGUUGAUCUGAGGGGACCUCGAGAACUCUUGAUGGCAAUUUGGAUAUGGCAGUGAUGAAGGAUGAAUGACCUUCCUCCCACUCUCUAUUCUUCCUCGCUUGCUUUGCUGAUUCUUUUGUGGGAGGAUGGAUAGGAGACACAGAGAGGGAAUUGAAAAAGAAUGAUGAAGUCAAAAAUAGGUCAGAAGAAGGAAAUACUCAGGAACCAAAUAUUAGUUGCAGAUCUGAAGAACUGAAGUUGAUUUGUUUGUCAAAGGUAAGGAAUGCAGGAAACUGCUGGUUUGCAAACUGGGUUGGUACUGGAAGUACUGGCUUGGAGGGCAAGGAGACACCAAAGAGAAAGGCGACCACUCCAGAUAGGUGGAGGUAAGGCAGGCGGUUUUAAAAAGCAAGGCGGGGGCGCCUGGGUGGCUCAUUCGGUUGAGCGUGGGACUUCAGCUCAGGUCAUGAUCUCAUGGUUUGUGGGUUCCAGCCCCAUGUUGGGCUCUGUGCUGAUAGCUCGGAGCCUGGACCCUGCUUCAGGCUCUGUCUCCCUCGCUCCCUGCCCCUCCCCCCACCUGUUUGCUUGUGCGCGCGCUCUCUCUCUCUCUCAAAGAUAAACAUUAAGAAAAAGUUUUUUUAAAACAAGGGAAUUUACGAGGGUGGUCUUGGACUCGGCAUGAUGAGGAGGUCCCCGCAUCUGCUUGCCAGAAUCUUACAAGUGUACACAGAGGCCUUAGCUGGGUUGGGCCAACAGUAUACAGUAUAGUACUCUCUCAUGGCUGUGUCCCAGAAAGCGGUCCCCCUGCAAGAAUGGUCGGGAAGAACCACAGUUCACUCCCCCCCCCCCCCGGGGCGGGGGGGGGGGGCGCUGGGGUGGGAGAGGGGAAUGUUGAGGAGCUUUGAUAGCCUGGGGCCUGCUGGUGGGUCAACCGGAGGUCACGUCCUCUCGCUGACCUCUUCCCACAGAUGAUCUAAGGGUUUUAGGAACUGUGCCAGGAGGAAGACCAAAUUAUAUCUUACUAUACAUCACAACAUCACAAGCUGCUUUACAUUAAAGCCUCUGUGGGUGAUUUUUGCCUCUCUGUGGAUCUAUCCUUGAGGGAAUGUUAUCCCUGAGAUUUUAUUUGUAUUUUUUGAAUUAUUUUGAAUAUGAUUACUGUUCUGUUCGAAAACUGUAGCUUUUACUUUAGUUAAUUGACUUUAGAGGGGUUUCUUGCAUUGUUAAAGGUGAUUUUUAUUUAGAUUUAGGGCUAAAAUAUUUCCUGUGGGGAACAAAUCUUUGGUUUUAUAAUGUAAGUCAAUGAAAAAAUAGGUUUUGAUUAAAAGAAUAUUGGUUUAUGGUCAGUUUUUUUUUUUUACAGGAAUUGGGACAAUUGCAUUAGAUGAGAUUGCCCUGUAUACCUGAGUACCUACUCUUCAACUGUUAUUUACUGUUUACAAUAUAGUUAUUUUUCAGUGCUCUCUUUAUUUUCUUAGGUUCCUUCUCCAUUCAGACUAUUGGAGUUUGGGUCCCUAAUUAUGCAAUAUUUAAGUCAAGUAAUAUGAAGAAUAUAAAAGCAUUUUGGAAACUAUCAUACUGUAAAAAUAUAAAAUAUUAAUAUUAUGGAGACUCCUUCUGAACCUUCUGUGCCAUGCCUAGGUUCUCAAGAGGUUUGGGAAUAUCUUAAGGAUAUUCUGAUUGUAUACUAUUCUCUGCCUAGAAUGAGCCCUACCCAGAAUUUCUGCCUCCUAGCCUGGUAGCUUGAGGUGAGCAGAUUCGAAUGUGAUGUUUACAUUUAUCUGUCUUCUGUAAAUUCAGGCCAGGGGGUGGAGCUGGAACUGGCGAGAAAGAUGUAUCUGGGAAAAGAUUCUUGCCUGUUUUCCUUAAUGCUAAUUUUAUGCAGACUGCUGAGCUGUUUUAUCUGUAUAUUCGAUUUUGGUGAUGACCUCCCUCAAGGUGAUUAUAAGAGCAGCAUAAGGAUCAUGUCUCCUUCUCUUCAUUGCUGUUUUAAUCAGGUUGCUAUUAGGAGAUAGAAUUCAACCUAGAUGGGUCAAGUUAAGGAACGCUCGGGGUGCCUGGGUGGCUCCGUCAGUUGAGUGGCCAACUUUUGAUUUCAGCUAACAUCAUAAUCUCAGGGUUCAUGGGAUGGAGCCCCGUGUCAGGCUCUGGAGGGACAGUGUGGGAUCUUCUUGGGAUUCUCUCUCUCUCCCUCUCUCUCUCUGCCCCUCCCCUGCUCAUACUCUCUCUCUCUCUCUCUCUCAAAAUAAAUAACAUUAAAAAUAUUAAGGAAAUAUCA